Molecule: long non-coding RNA, 947 nt
Organism: Alligator mississippiensis (American alligator)
Lineage: Eukaryota; Metazoa; Chordata; Crocodylia; Alligatoridae
Exons: 4
Source: RefSeq, a predicted model, not a curated record
CUGACGGCGCAGCUGACGCUCUUGGCUGCCCGCGCCCGGCGGCGGCGGCCACAAUGGGGCUGUGUGGAGCGGCGGCGGCGGCAGGCCCGGCCCCCGGCCCCCGGCCCGGCCCGGCCCGGCCCGCGCGGAGCCCAGCGGAGCCGAGCGGAGCGGUGCAGGGAGUUGAGCCCGGGCGCUGCAGCAGGAUCCUGACAGCUGUCACAUCUGCCCGACGCUGAGGCGUGACCCGGCCUGCUCUCUCCGAAUGACAAGGGACGGUGCAGGCUCCGCUGUCCUCACUACAGCAAGUGACUGUAGCUACAAGAAGUCCCAACGCCAGUGUGAAAUAUUCUGAUUUUGAGCAAAACUAUCUUGAUCUGCACUGCAUAUUUCUUUUAGGGACUAGGAAUGGGGACAGGGGGGAGCAGCAUAUAAAGACUAAGCUUUAGACUACUUCAGAAAAAUAAUUGGGGGUAAAAUUAAUUGCCUUUUAGCAGUUUCCAACAUGUUUUAUAUUUUCAACCAUAAGUUCAGUUGUUUUUUUAUGAACUAAGACUUUUUGACAUAAGAAGUCCUAUUAAUUCCCCCCCACACACACACACAUUUACAGAAAUGUGAAUGUGCAGAAAACUAACUGUUCUUAAGGAAACAGGUCUUUGAUCCAGCCUGGCUUUCAUUGAACUGGUACCUUGUCCUACUGAAGCAGUCUAGGGUUAUUCAUAGGUGAGACUGAAUCAUCAUAAUUGCAGAAUUAUCUUCCUGUCAUGGGUCCCACUGAAUGAAGAAAGAGUUGUGCUACUAACAUCAGUAGGCAUAGGAGAAGGUGACAUGUAUAAAAUGUUUCUCACAUGUAUGAGAUAAAAGGCUUUCUUGAAAUUAUUUUAAAACUAUUGACUUGAAAGGCCUCAGAAUCCUAAGCUGCAUUUUUAUUUGUAUAUGUGACAGUAUAAUAAAAACAUAACUAAAUA